UACGUAGGGGGCGAGCGUUGUCCGGAAUUAUUGGGCGUAAAGCGCGCGCAGGCGGUUCUUUAAGUCCGGUGUUUAAGCCCGGGGCUCAACCUCGGGACGCACGGGAAACUGGGGGACUGGAGUGCAGGAGAGGGAAGCGGAAUUCCACGUGUAGCGGUGAAAUGCGUAGAGAUGUGGAGGAACACCAGUGGCGAAGGCGGCUUCCUGGCCUGUAACUGACGCUGAGGCGCGAAAGCGUGGGGAGCAAACAGG
This 252-nucleotide ribosomal RNA is filed under the name uncultured bacterium. Its description in RNAcentral is "partial 16S ribosomal RNA". It matches the Rfam family "Bacterial small subunit ribosomal RNA", at positions 524 to 776 of the family's 1533-position model. The record is from RNAcentral.